Molecule: ribosomal RNA, 127 nt
Organism: Cricetulus griseus (Chinese hamster)
Lineage: Eukaryota; Metazoa; Chordata; Mammalia; Rodentia; Cricetidae
Source: Ensembl
GUCUAUGGCCAUACCACCCUUAAUGUGCCCAAUCUCAUCUGAUCUUGGAAGCUAAGCAGGGUCAGGCCAGGCUAGUACUUGGAUGGGAGAGAUGACUUUUUAAAAAGUGAGUUUAAUGACAUGGCCU